Labeo rohita (rohu) is the source of this 205-nucleotide long non-coding RNA. RefSeq lists it as uncharacterized. NCBI's taxonomy places the organism in Eukaryota, Metazoa, Chordata, Actinopteri, Cypriniformes, Cyprinidae. The record is from RefSeq and is a predicted model, not a curated record. The transcript is spliced from 3 exons.
AAAAACCUGGUGAAGCACACGACUCACACUCAGCUCCUGAAUAUUUUAGUAUUUAGAUUACCUGCAGCAGCAUUGCUGAAGAUUUGUCGGAGCACCUCAGACAGGAGUGUAACGUAAAAACCAAGCAGACCCCUUGCUGAAGACCCUUUCAUACAGAGGAUCCUUUGGUGAUGUAAUGCUAAAUUUCUCCUGAUGAAGAAUAAAC